This 804-nucleotide long non-coding RNA is filed under the name Homo sapiens (human). Its description in RNAcentral is "long intergenic non-protein coding RNA 2128". Lineage: Eukaryota; Metazoa; Chordata; Mammalia; Primates; Hominidae. The record is from RNAcentral.
CAGUGCCCACUUUGUUCAUCUCUGCUCACUGGGGGAGCCAGGACACGGAUCCAGGUUUUCUGACUCCAGGUCUCAGGCUUGCUCCAUAGCGCCACCUGCUGGUGACGGCAAUCGGUAGGCACCCAAAUCAAGACUCAGAUUUCCUCAUCUCAGAAGUUGUCCACUUCUUCUCCGACCUCCACGGUAACUCGGAACCACACCGUGGAGUUAUCCCUGUGUCCUCUUUCUCGGAAGUUCCACAUCCAACCCCUCAGCAGGUCUCAGCGGCACUCUCACCACCUCCUCUGCUCUGUUCCUGUUUCUCUUGGAUGGUCGAAUGUUUCCUAAGGAGUGUCUGCUGCUUCACGCUUGCCCCCUGGAGUGGCAUCUAAAAGGAUACCCUACAACUAACAGGCAUGAUGCCAUCAAGACAUCUUGAGCCUGGCUACCUCCCGUGGCCUGUAUUUUGUCCACAGGAAACUCGCGCAGUCUCACUACAGCAAAUUGAGGUGGUAUGGGGUGCCUGCUGCUGCCUCUCUCUUCACCUUUCCACAGAGGGCUGCCCCAGCCUGACUCCCACUUCCAGAGUUUCUCCAGCCAGGAGAAUCCUGAAAUCUCUGUAAAUAAGCAAUCCAGGAGCCAGAGAAUCAUGGGAUCUCAUAUAAACAAAUCAUCAAGGAAAAACACAGCCAGAGUCUCCAUUUGGUAAACCUCCGUGACUGGGGAUCCCCGGCCACCCAGAAAGCAGUAUUGCCUGCCAUGCAUGUCAUCACUGAUUUUUACUGCUGCAGCAGACUCCGUCAGACCUGCCUGCUGCUUCAGCGA